Non-coding RNA from Parelaphostrongylus tenuis, 74 nucleotides. The record is from the annotation of a GenBank genome assembly. NCBI's taxonomy places the organism in Eukaryota, Metazoa, Nematoda, Chromadorea, Rhabditida, Metastrongylidae.
GCGUCAGUAGUGUAACGGAAACAGCAUGCAUUCGCGGGAAGAGUGAGGUGUGGGUUCUAGUCCCGCCUGAGGCG